CCGUCUGACAACAGCAUACUCACGUUACUCCAGGACUGGAGAGUCACUACGAGCUGUGUGUGGAAGCUAGGCUAACUAGCUGAGCAAAUUUAGCGCCCUUGGAAGCGGAAGGAGUUUUCACGGUGUCAAAAUUGUGAGGAGAAAAGGAGGAGAGAAUUAAAGUUGCACCAGUCGAAGCUCUCUGCAUCUUGUGUCAUUAAUCCAAGUGGGCCGCUACAUUUGUAAUGUUGAAGGUGUUGGAUGUACAUGUCCUUGUGUACAAUGAGACCAGUUUUUUUGUAAAGACGUUCAAGUUGGCGUCUCUUUGUUUUUAAUUUGCGGAGCGUGGGAGUAAACCAGGGUGCAGAGUUGGUGAAAGAGACGCUUCUGAUUUUGUCUGGAGCCAGCAUGUCCAGUAGAUGAUGAAGAUUAUUGUUGUGGUAGGUGACCAGUUCAUCGGGAGAGGAACGAGAGUCACUGUCGGGGAGGCUGUCAAUGGCGGUGGAAAAAGUGUCAGAGUUGAUGUCCUUGAUUUUGCGAAAACAGAUAUUGUAAGGUAAUUGUAGAAAAACUUAAUUUGACAGUAAAAGAUACUAGCAGGUGAUCGGAGUAAGGUAGUGAAUUGGAAGUGGCAUUAACAACAUUUACACCUGAACAGCAAACCAGAUCAAGUGUGUGUCCUUUACAGUGGGUAGGGAAGUCGAUGUACGGCUGCAGACCAAAGCUUUGAAGAUAGGAUGAAAAGUCACUGGUGAUUGUACUGUUGGUGCUGUCCAUGUGAAAAUUAAAAUCCCCCUGCAGUACAAUAUUAGGGGAAAGUGAAGAAAGAUGAGCAAUAAAAGCAGAAAAAUCAUUAAUAAAAUCUUUGUUGUAUUUUGGUGGUCGGUAAACAGCAGCAAUGAUUGUGGGAGUAGGUCCAGAUAGCUGCAAAACUGUGGAUUCAAAGGAGCAGAAGACGGUAGAAGACACCGGUGAGAUUUUCCACUUCUCGCGAUAGAUCAGUGGUGCGAGGUUUGGAAGUGUAAACAAACCCGUGAGGAGUGGCGCUAUUAAGGUCUGUGUAGUCACUGAGGUGUUGCCAGGCCUGGCCCUAACCAAUCUGGCGCCCUAGGCAAGAUUUUAGGUGGCGCCCCCCCACAUCGGUAGUGAAGUGUAUAUACUCACAAGAAACCGAAUAGCUUUGUCUUUGACCUUUUUUUUUACUUAAAGAAAGCAAAUGAACAUAUUAUAUGAGAAUGUUAUGUUAUGAUUAUCUUUAACCGAAUCACAGCAGUGCUCAAAUUAAAAAACAGCAUUCCCUCUCAUGUGAUAUUGCUUAAUUAACAUUAAUGAUGUGCACUUUAACAACUAGGCUUACAAUUAUACCUAAUAUAUAAAGGGGUGGAAAAGUGACUAUUACCUGCAGGGCAAACAUUAGCUAACCAGAAGGCAAUAACAAUGUAAACAAAAAACACCUGCUUAAAAGAUCUAAUACAAAUGUCCCUGAGGAAUGUAAG
This is a long non-coding RNA of Entelurus aequoreus (snake pipefish), 1475 nucleotides long. RefSeq lists it as uncharacterized. The record is from RefSeq and is a predicted model, not a curated record. The transcript has 3 exons. Lineage: Eukaryota; Metazoa; Chordata; Actinopteri; Syngnathiformes; Syngnathidae.